AGUAAGAUAAGCUAAUACCUAAGCUGUUGGGCUCAUAACCCAAAAAUAGAUUCACUCUUCCUACUA
This 66-nucleotide transfer RNA is filed under the name Uniomerus tetralasmus. Its description in RNAcentral is "tRNA-Met". The record is from RNAcentral. Lineage: Eukaryota; Metazoa; Mollusca; Bivalvia; Unionida; Unionidae.